CCCUUAGAUGUUCUGGGCCGCACGCGCGCUACACUGAUGCAUUCAACGAGUUUCUUCCUGGUCCGAGAGGAAUGGGUAACAUUUUGAAAGUGCAUCGUGAUAGGGAUAGACUAUUGCAAUUAUUGGUCUUCAACGAGGAAUUCCUAGUAGACGUAGUUCAUCAGACUGCAUCGAUUACGUCCCUGCCCUUUGUACACACCGCCCGUCGCUCCUACCGAUUGAAUGCUCAGGUGAGCCAUUCGGACUUUCAUCAUGCUGGUUUCCAGUUUUGAUGAAGGAAAGUCUUGCGAACCUUAUCAUUUAGAGGAAGGAGAAGUCGUAACA
RNAcentral lists this ribosomal RNA (324 nucleotides) under uncultured eukaryote. Its description in RNAcentral is "partial 18S ribosomal RNA". It matches the Rfam family "Eukaryotic small subunit ribosomal RNA", at positions 1470 to 1796 of the family's 1831-position model. The record is from RNAcentral.